UCUCUAUUUAAGUGGAGCCUUCUAGAAUGUUUGCUGGAAACUAUGAUGCAUUUCGGUUCUGGAUCCUUUCACAUCUCAGAGUGAUCAGCUGUCUUGAGGGUGAAAUGACCAUUAUGGCCAGAUAAAGAAAUGUCCCUCUACCACACAGUAAGGAUCACGCCUGGAAUUUGAAUUAAGGUCAACAUUUUGCUGAAAUAUGUCCUAACAAGGAGUGGUGGAAAAUGAUAUCUGAGAAGAAAGUCUCAAGACUCACCUGCUGUGAAUUUUAGGUGUCAGCCGUCCAGUCCUGUUUGCUCUCACUGUUACAGCAAGGCGUCUCUGAUUUGUGACGGGGGCAUGAAUGCCAUUAUGUACUGUUGCCUUCAUGAAAGUGACAGAAGAAUGCUGAACACUUCAUUCCACAAAGAAGGCACUCAAGAAUGGUUUUUCAUUUCUUUCCCUUCAGUCUUGAGAAGGAGAGAGGAGGCACAAGCUAGGGGAGGAGCCAGAGGAGAUUUCAGCAAUGGAAUCAGAUGGCAUUCAAAUCAGAAAAGCCCCAUCCUCUGUACACAACCUGAAAAGCAAAGGUGGUGGAUGAGAAACAUAUGAAUGUGACCAGAUACCCACACAAGAUCCCUCCUCUUAUGAUGCACCUGUGCUUAUAAGCACUAAGAAGCUGCAGACCCCGCCUUGCUAAUUAGUGAACAUCUGUUGUCUGAAACAAAGUCCUGUAUGUUGUAGCCAUUAAGGAACUGCCAAGUGAGUAAGUAAAGAUGGUGAUGGAGCAGUUAGUUACUGCAACUAAAAUCUGACUCCAUUAUUUAAGAAACAUUUGGUGAGGAUUGCUUUUAAAUAUUAAUUCAUAGAGCCUUGGUUUCAUCUGGAAUAUGGUAGAUAUCCAACCUUAGGUGCUACAAGAAUUACACGUUCCUUUCCUCCUCUGUCCUUUUCCUUCAUCCUUCCCUCUUUGUCUUCCAUCCUUCCCUUUCCCUCUCCUCUUAUCUUCCCUCUUUCCUCUGUCUCCACAUCUGUCUCUGUCUCCAUGACCACCUCUAUCUCCAUAUUCAGUUUAUCUCUAUCUCCAUGUCUAUCUCUGUCUCCAUGUCCACCUCUAUCUCCAUGUCUACUUAUCUCCAUUCUAUCUCCAUGUCCACCUCUAUCUGCAUGUCUACUUGUCUCCGUGUCUACCUGUUUCUCCAUGUCUACUUGUCUCCAUUCUAUCUCUAUGUCCACCUCUAUCUCCAUGUCUACUUGUCUCCAUUCUAUCUCCAUGU
Peromyscus maniculatus bairdii (prairie deer mouse) is the source of this 1253-nucleotide long non-coding RNA. RefSeq lists it as uncharacterized. The record is from RefSeq and is a predicted model, not a curated record. Lineage: Eukaryota; Metazoa; Chordata; Mammalia; Rodentia; Cricetidae.